RNAcentral lists this ribosomal RNA (644 nucleotides) under uncultured bacterium. Its description in RNAcentral is "bacterial SSU rRNA". The stretch from base 1 to 549 matches the Rfam family "Bacterial small subunit ribosomal RNA", at positions 338 to 873 of the family's 1533-position model. The record is from RNAcentral.
CCUACGGGAGGCAGCAGUGGGGAAUCUUGCGCAAUGGGCGAAAGCCUGACGCAGCAACGCCGCGUGAGGGAAGAAGGCCUUCGGGUUGUAAACCUCUUUCAGAUGGGAAGAAGCCACCGGGGUUAAUAGCCCACGGGGUGACGGUACCUUCAGAAGAAGCCCCGGCUAACUACGUGCCAGCAGCCGCGGUAAUACGUAGGGGGCAAGCGUUGUCCGGAAUCAUUGGGCGUAAAGCGCGUGUAGGCGGCUUGGUAAGUCUGGCGUGAAAUCUUGGGGCUCAACCCCAAGCCUGCGCUGGAUACUGCCUCGCUCGAGUCCGGGAGAGGAAAGCGGAAUUCCCAGUGUAGCGGUGAAAAUGCGCAGAUAUUGGGAAGAACACCGAUGGCGAAGGCAGCUUUCUGGAACGGUACUGACGCUGAGACGCGAAAAGCGUGGGGAGCAAACAGGAUUAGAUACCCCUGGUAGUCCACGCCGUAAACGAUAGGCGACAGUAGUGGUGGUGGUCGCUCCGUCCGUCGACGAAGACGUAACGACAUAAGUAGUCCCGCCCGUCGGGAGGUACGGACCGGCCGACGGACGAAACGUAACGUAAAGAAAGUUAAGUUAGGCGUUGAGAGNGCCGACGGACGACGACGAGGAGGAGG